This 5919-nucleotide long non-coding RNA is filed under the name Citrus x clementina. RNAcentral describes it as "Citrus clementina (C. clementina) long non-coding RNA (CCLE_LNC001218)". The record is from RNAcentral. Lineage: Eukaryota; Viridiplantae; Streptophyta; Magnoliopsida; Sapindales; Rutaceae.
AAAUGGGCCAAAAAACGGGUGGGCUAUAGCCUUGGUGGGGGGGCGUGGGCGAAGUUCGUCCGCCGGACUCGGAAUGGCCCCAGGACUUUGCGGGUGGCCCUCGUGUGCCAAAAAUAGGCCACGGGCACAGCCGCGCCCAAAAAUUAGCCCCCGAAGGUGGAGGUGCCAAGACCCCCCAGCGGAAAAAUGGCCAAAAAACGGGUGGGCUAUAGCCUUGGUGGGGGGCGUGGGCGAAGUUCGUCCGCCGGACUCGGAAUGGCCCCAGACUUUGCGGGCGGCCUCCGUGUGCCAAAAAUAGGCCACGGGCACAGCCGCGCCCAAAAAUUAGCCCCCGAAGGUCGGGGCGCCAAGACCCCCCAGCGGAAAAAUGGCCAAAAAACGGGUGGGCUAUAGCCUUGGUGGGGGGCGCGGGCGAAGUUCGUCCGCCGGACUCGGAAUGGCCCCAGACUUUGCGGGCGGCAUCCGUGUGCCAAAAAUAGACCACGGGCACAGCCGCGCCCAAAAAUUAGCCCCCGAAGGUCGGGCUGCCAAGACCCCCCAGCGGAAAAAUGGCCAAAAAACGGGUGGGCUAUAGCCUUGGCGGGGGCGUGGGCGAAGUUCGUCCGCCGGACUCGGAAUGGCCCCAGACUUUGCGGGCGGCCUCCGUGUGCCAAAAAUAGGCCACGGGCACAGCCGCGCCCAAAAAUUAGCCCCCGAAGGUCGGGGCGCCAAGACCCCCCAGCGGAAAAAUGGCCAAAAAACGGGUGGGCUAUAUCCUUGGUGGGGGGCGUGGGCGAAGUUCGUCUGCCGGACUCGGAAUGGCCCCAGACUUUGCGGGCGGCCUCCGUGUGCCAAAAAUAGGCCACGGGCACAGCCGCGCCCAAAAAUUAGCCCCCGAAAGUCAGGGCGCCAAGACUCCCCAGCGGAAAAAUGGCCGAAAAAUGGCCAAAAAAUGGGUGGGCUAUAGCCUUGGUGGGGGGCGUGGGCGAAGUUCGUCCGCCGGACUCGGAAUGGCCCCAGACUUUGCGGGCGGCCUCCGUGUGCCAAAAAUAGGCCACGGGCACAGCCGCGCCCAAAAAGUACCCCCCGAAGGUCGGGGCGCCAAGACCCCCCAGCGGAAAAAUGGCCAAAAAACGGGUGGGCUAUAUCCUUGGUGGGGGGCGUGGGCGAAGUUCGUCUGCCGGACUCGGAAUGGCCCCAGACUUUGCGGGCGGCCUCCGUGUGCCAAAAAUAUGCCACGGGCACAGCCGCGCCCAAAAAUUAGCCCCCGAAAGUCGGGGCGCCAAGACUCCCCAGCGGAAAAAUGGCCGAAAAAUGGCCAAAAAAUGGGUGGGCUAUAGCCUUGGUGGGGGGCGUGGGCGAAGUUCGUCCGCCGGACUCGGAAUGGCCCCAGACUUUGCGGGCGGCCUCCGUGUGCCAAAAAUAGGCCACGGGCACAGCCGCGCCCAAAAAUUAGCCCCCGAAGGUCGGGGCGCCAAGACCCCCCAGCGGAAAAAUGGCCAAAAAACGGGUGGGCUAUAGACUUGGUGGGGGGCGCGGGCGAAGUUCGUCCGCCGGACUCGGAAUGGCCCCAGACUUUGCGGGCGGCCUCCGUGUGCCAAAAAUAGACCACGGGCACAGCCGCGCCCAAAAAUUAGCCCCCGAAGGUCGGGGCGCCAAGACCCCCCAGCGUAAAAAUGGCCAAAAAACGGGUGGGCUAUAGCCUUGGUGGGGGGCGUGGGCGAAGUUCGUCCGCCGGACUCGGAAUGGCCCCAGACUUUGCGGGCGGCCUCCGUGUGCUAAAAUUAGGACACGGACACAGCCGCGCCCAAAAAUUAGCCUCCGAAGGUCGGGGCGCCAAGACCCCCCAGCGGAAAAAUGGCCAAAAAAAGGGUGGGCUGUAUCCUUGGUGGGGGGCGUGUGCGAAGUUCGUCCGCCGGACUCGGAAUGGCCCCAGACUUUGCGGGUGGCCCUCGUGUGCCAAAAAUAGGCCACGGGCACAGCCGCGCCCAAAAAUUAGCCCCCGAAGGUGGAGGUGCCAAGACCCCCCAGCGGAAAAAUGGCCAAAAAACGGGUGGGCUAUAGCCUUGGUGGGGGGCGUGGGCGAAGUUCGUCCGCCGGACUCGGAAUGGCCCCAGACUUUGCGGGUGGCCCUCGUGUGCCAAAAAUAGGCCACGGGCACAGCCGCGCCCAAAAAUUAGCCCCCGAAGGUGGAGGUGCCAAGACCCCCCAGCGGAAAAAUGGCCAAAAAACGGGUGGGCUAUAGCCUUGGUGGGGGGCGCGGGCGAAGUUCGUCCGCCGGACUCGGAAUGGCCCCAGACUUUGCGGGCGGCAUCCGUGUGCCAAAAAUAGACCACGGGCACAGCCGCGCCCAAAAAUUAGCCCCCGAAGGUCGGGCUGCCAAGACCCCCCAGCGGAAAAAUGGCCAAAAAACGGGUGGGCUAUAGCCUUGGCGGGGGCGUGGGCGAAGUUCGUCCGCCGGACUCGGAAUGGCCCCAGACUUUGCGGGCGGCCUCCGUGUGCCAAAAAUAGGCCACGGGCACAGCCGCGCCCAAAAAGUACCCCCCGAAGGUCGGGGCGCCAAGACCCCCCAGCGGAAAAAUGGCCAAAAAACGGGUGGGCUAUAUCCUUGGUGGGGGGCGUGGGCGAAGUUCGUCUGCCGGACUUGCGAUGGCCCCAGACUUUGCGGGCGGCCUCCGUGUGCCAAAAAUAUGCCACGGGCACAGCCGCGCCCAAAAAUUAGCCCCCGAAAGUCGGGGCGCCAAGACUCCCCAGCGGAAAAAUGGCCGAAAAAUGGCCAAAAAAUGGGUGGGCUAUAGCCUUGGUGGGGGGCGUGGGCGAAGUUCGUCCGCCGGACUCGGAAUGGCCCCAGACUUUGCGGGCGGCAUCCGUGUGCCAAAAAUAGACCACGGGCACAGCCGCACCCAAAAAUUAGCCCCCGAAGGUCGGGCUGCCAAGACCCCCCAGCGGAAAAAUGGCCAAAAAACGGGUGGGCUAUAGCCUUGGCGGGUGCGUGGGCGAAGUUCGUCCGCCGGACUCGGAAUGGCCCCAGACUUUGCGGGCGGCCUCCGUGUGCCAAAAAUAGGCCACGGGCACAGCCGCGCCCAAAAAUUAGCCCCCGAAGGUCGGGGCGCCAAGACCCCCCAGCGGAAAAAUGGCCAAAAAACGGGUGGGCUAUAUCCUUGGUGGGGGGCGUGGGCGAAGUUCGUCUGCCGGACUCGGAAUGGCCCCAGACUUUGCGGGCGGCCUCCGUGUGCCAAAAAUAGGCCACGGGCACAGCCGCGCCCAAAAAUUAGCCCCCGAAAGUCAGGGCGCCAAGACUCCCCAGCGGAAAAAUGGCCGAAAAAUGGCCAAAAAAUGGGUGGGCUAUAGCCUUGGUGGGGGGCGUGGGCGAAGUUCGUCCGCCGGACUCGGAAUGGCCCCAGACUUUGCGGGCGGCCUCCGUGUGCCAAAAAUAGACCACGGGCACAGCUGUGCCCAAAAAUUAGCCCCCGAAGGUCGGCUGCCAAGACCCCCCAGCGGAAAAAUGGCCAAAAAACGGGUGGGCUAUAGCCUUGGUGGGGGGCGUGGGCGAAGUUCGUCCGCCGGACUCGGAAUGGCCCCAGACUUUGCGGGUGGCCCUCGUGUGCCAAAAAUAGGCCACGGGCACAGCCGCGCCCAAAAAUUAGCCCCCGAAGGUGGAGGUGCCAAGACCCCCCAGUGGAAAAAUGGCCAAAAAACGGGUGGGCUAUAGCCUUGGUGGGGGGCGUGGGCGAAGUUCGUGCGCCGGACUCGGAAUGGCCCCAGACUUUGCGGGCGGCCUCCGUGUGCCAAAAAUAGGCCACGGGCACAGCCGCGCCCAAAAAUUAGCCCCGAAGGUCGGGGCGCCAAGACCCCCCAGCGGAAAAAUGGACAAAAAACGGGUGGGCUAUAGCCUUGGUGGGGGGCGCGGGCGAAGUUCGUCCGCCGGACUCCGAAUGGCCCCAGACUUUGCGGGCGGCCUCCGUGUGCCAAAAAUAGACCACGGGCACAGCCGCGCCCAAAAAUUAGCCCCCGAAGGUCGGGGCGCCAAGACCCCCCAGCGUAAAAAUGGCCAAAAAACGGGUGGGCUAUAGCCUUGGUGGGGGGCGUGGGCGAAGUUCCUCCGCCGGACUCGAAAUGGCCCCAGACUUUGCGGGCGGCCUCCGUGUGCCAAAAAUAGGCCACGGGCACAGCCGCGCCCAAAUAUUAGCCCCCGAAGGUCGGGCUGCCAAGACCCCCCAGCGGAAAAAUGGCCAAAAAACGGGUGGGCUAUAGCCUUGGUGGGGGGCGUGGGCGAAGUUCGUCCGCCGGACUCGGAAUGGCCCCAGACUUUGCGGGUGGCCCUCGUGUGCCAAAAAUAGGCCACGGGCACAGCCGCGCCCAAAAAUUAGCCCCCGAAGGUGGAGGUGCCAAGACCCCCAGCGAAAAAAUGGCCAAAAACGGGUGGGCUAUAGCCAUGGUGGGGGGCGUGGCGAAGUUCGUCGCCGGGACUCGGAAUGGCCCCAGACUUUGCGGGCGGCCCUCGUGUGCCAAAAAUAGGCCGCGGGCACAGCCGCGCCCAAAAAUUAGCCCCCGAAGGUCGGGGCGCCAAGACCCCCCAGCGGAAAAAUGGCCAAAAAACGGGUGGGCUAUAGCCUUGGCGGGGGCGUGGGCGAAGUUCGUCCGCCGGACUCGGAAUGGCCCCAGACUUUGCGGGCGGCCUCCGUGUGCCAAAAAUAGGCCGCGGGCACAGUCGCGCCCAAAAAUUUAGCCCCCGAAGGUCGGGGCGCCAAGACCCCCCAGCGGAAAAAUGGCCAAAAAACGAGUGGGCUAUAGCCUUGGUGGGGGGCGUGGGCGAAGUUCGUCCGCCGGACUCGGAAUGGCCCCAGACUUUGCGGGUGGCCCUCGUGUGCUAAAAAUAGGCCACGGGCACAGCCGCGCCCAAAAAUUAGCCCCCGAAGGUGGAAGUGCCAAGACCCCCAGCGGAAAAAUGGCCAAAAAACGGGUGGGCUAUAGCCUUGGUGGGGGGCGUGGGCGAAGUUCGUCCGCCGGACUCCGAAUGGCCCCAGACUUUGCGGGCGGCCUCCGUGUGCCAAAAAUAGGCCACGGGCACAGCUGCGCCCAAAAAUUAACCCCCGAAGGUCGGGGCGCCAAGACCCCCCAGCGGAAAAAUGGCCAAAAAACGGGUGGGCUAUAGCCUUGGUGGGGGGCGUGGGCGAAGUUCGUCCGCCGGACUCGGAACGGCCCCAGACUUUGCGGGCGGCCUCCGUGUGCCAAAAAUAGGCCACGGGCACAGCCGUGCCCAAAAAUUAGCCCCCGAAGGUCGGGCUGCCAAGACCCCCCAGAGGAAAAAUGGCCAAAAAACGGGUGGGCUAUAGCCUUGGCGGGGGGCGUGGGCGAAGUUCGUCCGCCGGACUCGGAAUGGCCCCAGACUUUGCGGGCGGCCUCCGUGUGCCAAAAAUAGGCCACGGGCACAGCCGCGCCCAAAAAUUAGCCCCCGAAGGUGGAGGUGCCAAGACCCCCCAGUGGAAAAAUGGCCAAAAAACGGGUGGGCUAUAGCCUUGGUGGGGGGCGUGGGCGAAGUUCGUGCGCCGGACUCGGAAUGGCCCCAGACUUUGCGGGCGGCCUCCGUGUGCCAAAAAUAAGCCACGGGCACAGCCGCGCCCAAAAAUUAGCCCCCGAAGGUCGGGGCGCCAAGACCCCCCAGCGGAAAAAUGGCCAAAAAACGGGUGGGCUAUAGCCUUGGUGGGGGGCGCGGGCGAAGUUCGUCCGCCGGACUCGGAAUGGCCCCAGACUUUGCGGGCGGCCUCCGUGUGCCAAAAAUAGGCCACGGGCACAGCUGUGCCCAAAAAUUAGCCCCCGAAGGUCGGCUGCCAAGACCCCCCAGCGGAAAAAUGGCCAAAAAACGGGUGGGCUAUAGCCUUGGCGGGGGCGUGGGCGAAGUUCGUCCGCCGGACUCGGAAUGGCCCCAGACUUUGCGGG